RNAcentral lists this transfer RNA (68 nucleotides) under Marmota monax (woodchuck). Its description in RNAcentral is "tRNA.Gly". It matches the Rfam family "tRNA". From Rfam's summary of the family: Transfer RNA (tRNA) molecules are approximately 80 nucleotides in length. Their secondary structure includes four short double-helical elements and three loops (D, anti-codon, and T loops). The record is from RNAcentral. Lineage: Eukaryota; Metazoa; Chordata; Mammalia; Rodentia; Sciuridae.
GACGCAGCUCAGUGGUAGAGCACUUGCCUCCCAUGCAGGAGGUCCUGGGUUCCCUCCCCACUGCUACA